GAGGGGAGGAGGGGAGGAGAGGCCGGAAUGGGGAGGCUGCCGCCUCUGAGAGCCAGGCCAGGCUGAGCAGUGCUGCCCAGAAUCAGGUCUGAGGAAUGAAGGCUCUAGAGGCAAGCGAGUCUAUCACUGCCCACUAGGCAACCACAGGUCAAAAUGCCUCAGCAGCAGCAGUUUCUGAAGCCACUCUGGGGCCUUUCCAGCCUGGGCGACCCCAGCCUCUAAAACAUCUCCCCAAUACACUCAGCAGAGGCCAACAACCUUCAUGUCUGAAGACGGAACAGAUGCAGGAUGCCCGGAGUGAUAAAGGUCACAGAGGUUCUCAUGGAGUGGAGCAUUCGUAGGGUGGGGAAGCCUGCUCAGCUGCCCUGAGCUGUGUUCGCUCUCACCCUCAUCGCCCGCAGCUUCCGUCCUGAUGACCAGAAGCGGACUGAAUCCACAGCGGGUGAGCUGGUGACCAGGGAGAGUAGUUUCAAUUGGAUCUCGAGUUUCUCUCAGGGAUUUGCCAUUGCCCCAUCUGGUUCUGCCUUGGCCUGACUCAGAGAGGCGCCUCCCUGGUUGAUGGUCACUGGCUGGCUAUGAUUGGGACUGAUCAGCCCACUCAUAGUGGGACCCUGCCGAUAUGGAGAAAAACCCUCCAGCCCCACUUGCUUGUGAACUCCACACCUCUAUGCAGUGCACACUCCUCAGCUUCACUAUGGAUAAAAUCUCUGUCACGGGGUGCAUGACGGGAGCAGGAAUUUGGACACAGCUCAAACUGUGAUUCAAUCCACUACCCUCUUUUCUUGGGCUUACACUAGGGUCCAGCGGAUGACCUUUCAAUUCAGAGGCCAAAACUCCAGCUCAGAACAGCCAGGGCUGCCAUUUUCUCGACACGCAGCCUAGAAGAGUCUUAGAAUCUGACUGCGCAUGCUCAGACCACCCAUUACGUCACGCUUUACUUCCAAUCAUCCUUGUUUCUUUAUCGCAUAAAAACUUCCAAGCUGGGGCUGGGGUUUUAGCUCAGCAGCAUAAGCACCUGCCUUGUAUACAGGCGGUCACGAGUUCAAUCCCUGGUACCGAUUAAAGAAAAAAAUCACAAAAAAAACCCUCCAAACCCUUUCAUCAGGGAGGCCAAUUUGAGGCCCACACUCUUGUCUCCAUAUGCUUGCUCACCCCAUAGUUUCUCUUUUGUCAAACUUGUCAUUUUACCAAUUGGCAUAACACACUAUGAGAAAAGAACUGGCCUGCUUUGGUAACACUGUGACCAACUAUGACUGCCCAUGCUGACUGCAGCCAAACUGAUGAACUGAGUCUGCUUGGCAUGACAACAAAUUGACCAAAGACCAACUCAGGGCCACACGGUUGAUGCACUGGCUAGUUGGUGAUAACUGUGUUGCUGGCUGCCUAAUUCAAGCUGACUAUAACUAAAUAACUUACCGUGAAUAGCUACUGUGACUGUCUGAAUUCUGUGACUGACUGUCUGAAACAGGCUGUGUGGGCAACAGAUUAUGACCUGAUAACUCCAAGUGAUGAUCUUGAUGGUUACUCAGUGGCUCUGACUGAUUCUCUAGCUAAGGGACAGGUGAUCUCUUUUAGACUGUGACAGAGUGCCUCGAUCAGAUCCCUCUCAGAGACUGACUGAUUGCCUGGUGUUUCUUUUUUUUUUAUCGAUACCAGGGGUUGAACUCAUGACCAUGCGCUUGCAAGGCAGGCACUUAUGCCACUGAGCUAAAUCCCCAGCCCAACGUGGUGUUUCUUUAUGGUUGUGACUGACCAGGCCACAGAACGUGGCUGCUUGUGACUAACUGUGAUUUACUCUUAAAUUGACACAAACUGACUAUAUCCAAAGGACAGGAUCAACUGGGUAGACUGAUAACAUACCUUGAAUAUUAAAAAGUGACUGCAAGAUGGACUGGGUGGCUGGAACAUCACAGGGUGUCCUGUGGCAUGAAUCGUUGUGACAGUGUAUGAUGGUUAAUCUUGACUAUCAAUUUGAUUGGUUUGAGAGGAGCCUAGGAGAUUGGUGGGUGUGGCUGGGUGGCUCACAGGGGCAUGACGUUGGGGUCUGUGUUUGAUCUGUAGUGCAUUAUGCUCUGGUCAUCCUCUUCCUUCAUUCUCAGCCACCGUGAGUUGUGGAGCCAUACCCUUAUGCCAUGUCUCCACCUUGACACCAGAUGCCUGUGGACUGAAACCUCUGAAAUUGUAAGCCAAAAUAAAACUAUUCUCCUAUAGGUAGCACAUGGCAAGUAAUUUGUCCCAGUGACAGGAAGCUAAUGCAUAGU
Long non-coding RNA from Cavia porcellus (domestic guinea pig), 2261 nucleotides. RefSeq lists it as uncharacterized. NCBI's taxonomy places the organism in Eukaryota, Metazoa, Chordata, Mammalia, Rodentia, Caviidae. The record is from RefSeq and is a predicted model, not a curated record. The transcript has 4 exons.